CUACGGGUGGCUGCAGUGGGGAAUAUUGCGCAAUGGGCGAAAGCCUGACGCAGCGACGCCGCGUGGAGGAUGAAGGUUUUCGAAUUGUAAACUCCUGUUAAGUGGGAAGAAAGACCUGUAAAUAAUAAGUGCAGAGGAUGACGGUACCACUAGAGAAAGCUCCGGCUAACUUCGUGCCAGCAGCCGCGGUAAGACGAAGGGAGCAAGCGUUAUUCGGAAUUACUGGGCGUAAAGAGCGUGUAGGCGGUUGAUUAAGUUAGUUGUUAAAUUCCUUGGCUUAACUGGGGACCAGCAAUUAAUACUGAUUAACUAGAGGGCAAGAGAGAGAAGUGGAAUUCUCGGAGUAGCGGUAAAAUGCAUAGAUCUCGAGAGGAACACCGGUGGCGAAGGCGGCUUCUUGGCUUGUCUCUGACGCUAAAGCGCGAAAGCGUGGGGAGCAAACAGGAUUAGAUACCCCCGUAGUC
Molecule: ribosomal RNA, 464 nt
Filed under: uncultured bacterium
Lineage: Bacteria
Description: partial 16S ribosomal RNA
Rfam family: Bacterial small subunit ribosomal RNA
Source: RNAcentral